RNAcentral lists this ribosomal RNA (421 nucleotides) under uncultured bacterium. Its description in RNAcentral is "partial 16S ribosomal RNA". It matches the Rfam family "Bacterial small subunit ribosomal RNA", at positions 360 to 773 of the family's 1533-position model. The record is from RNAcentral.
AAUAUUGGACAAUGGGGGAAACCCUGAUCCAGCCAUGCCGCGUGUGUGAAGAAGGCCUUCGGAUUGUAAAGCACUUUAAGUUGGGAGGAAGUGUUGUUGGCUAAUAUCCAGCAAUUUUUUCGUUACCGACUGAAUAAGCACCGGCUAACUCUGUGCUAGCAGCCGCGGUAAUACAGAGGGUGCAAGCGUUAUUCGGAAUUACUGGGCGUAAAGCGUGCGUAGGUGGUUCAGUAAGAUGGGUGUGAAAUCCGCGGGCUUAACCGGGGAACUGCUUUCAUAACUGCUGAGCUAGAGUACGGUAGAGGGUAGUGGAAUUUCCUGUGUAGCGGUGAAAUGCGUAGAUAUAGGAAGGAACACCAGUGGCGAAGGCGACUACCUGGACUGAUACUGACACUGAGGUGCGAAAGCGUGGGGAGCAAAC